This is a long non-coding RNA of Mauremys reevesii (Reeves's turtle), 821 nucleotides long. RefSeq lists it as uncharacterized. The record is from RefSeq and is a predicted model, not a curated record. Lineage: Eukaryota; Metazoa; Chordata; Testudines; Geoemydidae. The transcript is spliced from 2 exons.
AUUGUUCAGCUUGAGUCAGGGAAGGGAGUAGGUGAUCUCACACUGCUCUAGAGCCUGAAGUAGCAGCUACACUGUGUCCUGUCUGAGGAUGACCUGGGAGAAGAUUUGCUGGGAGUGCUGCUUGCUGUUUAUCUUCAGGAGAUGGAGGAUGAUCCUGAGCUGCAGUGUGGGGAAUGCAGCUCUUAUUUGAAUCCUGACACCAACUGUUGCCUGAAGACACAGUGAGACUUUCACUUUUAUCUGUAUUUCACCCACUGACAAUAUUAGUCAUGCCUCUAUAGAACUAUCAAGUCUGGAUGUGUCCCCAGCCGCUUCUCUGAAUCACAGGAACUGCAUGCUGCACAGACUUUGCUGCCAAGGGAAGCAGAUUCACCAUUUCCUGUGAAUCGUCAGCACCUUAACAGAAUACAGUUGUGCCCAGUUCUGUUCCAGCAAGAACUUCUGCUGCUCCUCCUCUGGAUAAAGUCUGUCUGUUUUGGGGGUUUCUGCUGGUUAUGGGGCUGCCAUCAAUAGUGCCAAGGUAUGUACAUGUAAGGACAAAUGGCACAAUUGCUUUCUUAGCAUGUUAAUGAAUUGUAUGUAGCAGGAAACUUUCCCAUGUUUCAGGACUACAAUUUAUGGAUGGAUUCUUAGUCCCCUGUUAUGCAGGUUAAACCUGGUUCUGCUUAUGCUAUUGUCAGUUUGGGCAGAGUUGGCCUCUCUGGCUGUAAAUUAGCUGGUGCUUCCCAGAUUGUUGGGAUUGACAUCAACAAAAAUUUUCCAAGGCUAAAAAGUUAGGAGUCACUGAAAGAAUAAACCCUCUAGAUUCCAAGAAACAUUCA